UUAAGUAGUUAUCCCACUUUCUAAUCAGGUGAUUCCAGUUUCCCAGUUUGGGAAUAGGACAGCUUCUUCGUUGUUCCAAUGGUAUCAGAGCCAGGUUGGCAAAAAGGGGGUGAGUGUGAUUUCUUUUUCUCAAAAUCAGAGUGUUCUUGAGUGUUCUUGGGAUUAUUGAGGUUUCUGGGUAUGUGUGUUGUCUAUUCUUGUGUGGCUGGGUUUAUUUGAGAUUCUCUGGUGGAAACAUGGAUAUGAAGCACGAAUCUAGUGGAGCAGUGAAGAUUCAAGAAGAAAACAAGUGGGUUUGGCCAAGAUGGGUAAAGACAGCUUUGGGAAGCUGUGAGAUUUGGAGUAAUCAAGUAAAGGGAGAACCUUUAAUGGAGAGAGCUGCUGAUGGGGGUCAGACAGCAAGGUUGAAAUGUGAAGAUCAGUUGAGUCUUGAAGAAAGUAUAUCUCUUGAGAAGAUUGAAGAUGUUUAUGAGAACAAGAUCAAUCUAAGGAGGAUGUAUGAAGUCAGGAAGAUGAUCUGUGAGUUGAAACAAGGGAAAGAAGGUUUCAAUCAGCAUGUGAAGAAGCUGAGAUGUUUGUGGUCGGAGUUACAAAGCUUGAGACCAAGAAGUUGUGAUCCGAGAGUGCUAGAAGAGUGGCGAGAGCAAGAUGUUGUCUUCAGCCUCCUUGCAAGCUUGGAUUCAUCUUAUGGCUGGUUGGUAAAGCUUAUUCUCAAGGAAGAGAAGCUACCCAACAUGGAAGAAGUGUGUGUACUUGUUCAGAGGCUUCAUCAAGUGAUGGAAGAGAACAAAGAGAUAACUUGGAGUAAGGAGGGUGCUAAAAGGAAGAAGGGAAGGCUGAGACGACGUUCUAAGGCUCAGAUCAGAAGAGGAAGGUGUUGGAAGAGAAGCAUACUGUCUGGUUAUCAAGGUAGCUAUGGUACUAUGAAGAUGGGCAGAGUAGAAGCACAACAGAUUCUUAUGGGAGAGUGUUCUUACUCAGCUUACAUGGGAGAAUCUGUAGAGAGCAGUGGGGUUAUGAGGAAGCUAGAGACCAAAGGAGCGGAUGAGCGUGUCACAAAGGAGGAAUGGGAUGAGUUUGUCAAGUAUGUGUAUGCUUUGGCUACGACCCGGAGACAGGGUGCUCCUGCCAAAGCAUCCACAUCCAACAAACCCAUCAUUGUUGAUUCUGGAGCAAGUCAUCACAUGAUUAGUGACAGAAGCUUAAUGAGUGAUGUAAAGAAAGCUACUGGGGGUGUGAUGAUAGCUAAUGGUGAUAGGAUUCCUAUAGAAGGAGUUGGAAAGCUCAAGCUAUUUGAUAAAGACUCAGAUGCCUUCUACAUGCCACAGUUUGCUUCAAAUCUACUAUCUGUAAGGAAAGCCACAAUUGAUCUUGGCUGUCAAGUAGUAUUCAGGCCAGAUGAUGUUGAGUUCCAAGAUUUGAAGACUGGAAGGGUCAUUGGGAGAGGAGACAGCAAGAAUAAUCUAUACCAGCUCCAAUUGGCUAAGAUUUCUAAACCCUUUGAUUCUAUGUGUUUGAGUAGUACUUAUGAGAAGAUUGAUAGUAUUACUUGGCAUGCUAGAUUGGGUCAUCCUCAUGCUCGUGCUAUUGAAUUGAUAAUUCCUAAUAUGUCAUUUAAUCACUUGGAGUGUGAAGCAUGCAUAUUAGGAAAGCAUUGUAGGACUGUUUUUCCAACAUCAGAAACUACUUAUGAGCAUUGCUUUGAUCUAGUUCAUUCAGAUGUGUGGACUGCUCCUUGUUUGUCUAGAGAUAGCCAGAAGUACUUUGUGACAUUCAUUGAUGAGAAGUCUAAGUAUACUUGGCUUACAUUGCUUCCAUCUAAAGAUAGGGUGCUAGAAGCAUUUAUGAACUUCCAAGCAUAUGUAUCUAAUCAAUACAAUGCUACUGUGAAGGUACUGAGAUCAGAUAAUGGAGGUGAAUACAUCAGCAAUGCCUUCAAGAGUCAUCUAGCCAAGCAUGGGAUUGUGCAUCAGACUAGCUGUCCUUAUACACCACAGCAGAAUGGUGUAGCUGAGAGGAAGAACAGGCACUUGAUGGAGGUUGCUAGAUCAAUGAUGUUUCAUGCAAAUGUCCCAAAACGUUUUUGGAGUGAUGCUGUGCAGACUGCUUGCUAUCUCAUCAACCGGGUUCCAACCAAGAUAUUGAAGAAUCUGUCUCCAUUUGAAGUGUUGAACAAGAGCAAACCUGUCAUUGAUCACCUACGUGUCUUUGGGUGUGUGUGCUAUGUCAUGGUUCCAGGAGAGCAGAGAAACAAGCUGGAGGCAAAGAGUACUAAGGCUAUGUUCAUUGGUUACUCUAUCACUCAGAAAGGGUACAAGUGCUAUGAUCCUGAAGCAAGGAGAGUGAUGGUAUCUAGAGAAGUGAAGUUUGUUGAAACAAAAGGUUAUUAUGAAGAAAAGGAGUGGGAAAAUCUGAAGGAUUUGUCUCAAGCUCCAUCUGAUAAGGCAACAAUACUGAGAGUGUUGUUGGAGAAGCUCGGGAUAGGGUUGUCCCAGGAUCAGGAACCCGGCAGGAGAGAGUCUUCCAAUCAGACUGGUGGAGCUGGAAGAACAACUCCUCUUGAUCAUGAGAGGGGGAAUGGAACUGAAUCUGGUGAGCAAGAGCAAAACCAAGAGGAUUCAGGUCUUCAUGAUCAAGUUGAGAACAAUGUUCGGUCUAGUGGAGAAGUGGAUGAGGUUCAGUCUAGUGGAGAAGUAGAUGAGGUUCAGUCUAGUGGAGAAGAACAAGUCGGACCGGCCAGUUCAGAAGAAGAGCAAGUGGAGCCGGCUAGUGUGCAAACUGAAGAUCAGGUGCAAGCUUUGAGGAGGAGCACAAGGAUAAAGAGGGAUCCUUCCAACUGGGUAAACACGAGAGUGUACUACAAUGCCCAGGCUGUGGAGCAUCCUUCUCAAGCCGUGUGUUCCUUUGCUGAGUUUCCAGAGGAGCAUUAUGCCUUUAUGAUUAGUCUGGAUGAGAGUUAUGUGCCAAGGACUUAUGAAGAAGCUAUGUUAGACAAGGAAUGGAAAGAAUCAGUGGGAGCUGAAGCAGGUGCUAUGAUCAAGAAUGAUACAUGGUAUGAGAGUGAGCUGCCUAAGGGAAAGAAGGCUGUAUCUAGUAGAUGGAUCUUCACAAUCAAGUAUCUAGCAAAUGGACAGAUUGAUAGGAAGAAGACCAGACUGGUUGCAAGAGGAUUUACACAAACCUAUGGAGAGGAUUUACAUUGAUACCUUUGCACCAGUAGCUAAGCUGCACACAGUUCGGAUUGUGUUGUCCAUUGCAACAAACUUGGAGUGGGAUUUGUGGCAGAUGGAUGUGAAGAAUGCUUUCUUACAAGGUGAGCUAGAAGAUGAGGUAUACAUGCUUCCUCCUCCUGGUCUUGAGCAUCUAGUAAAACCAGGAAAUGUUUUGAGAUUGAAGAAGGCAAUAUAUGGGCUGAAGCAGUCUCCUAGAGCUUGGUACAGAAAGCUGAGUACAACUCUCAAUGGGAGAGGAUUCAGGAAGUCUGAACUGGAUCAUACACUCUUCACUUUGGUUACUCCAUCAGGGAUCAUUGUGAUACUGGUAUAUGUGGAUGAUUUGAUUAUCACAGGGAGUGAUAAGGCUGGGAUUAAAGCCACUAAAGAGUUCCUCAAGUCUGUGUUUGAUAUCAAAGACUUGGGAGAGAUGAAGUAUUUCUUGGGGAUUGAGAUAUGCAGAUCCAAGGAGGGUUUGUUUAUGUGUCAAAGGAAGUAUACAAUGGAUAUGUUGAAGGAGACUGAUGUACUUGGAGGAAAGGUAGCCAAGACACCUCUUGAAGAGGGGUAUAAGGUCUUACGUGAGGGGGAGGUUGAAGAGAACCAGUUGUUUGAGGAUGCUAAGCUGUAUAGGAAAAUGGUUGGCAAGCUGAUCUACUUGACCAUCACCAGACCAGAUAUAUGUUUUGCUGUGAACCAAGUGAGUCAGCAUAUGCAGGCACCAAAGGUCCAUCACUGGAAGAUGGUUGAUAGGAUACUGAGGUAUCUGAGUGGGACGACUGGACAAGGGGUUUGGAUGGGUUGUAAUGGCAGUACAGAAGUGGUUGGGUAUUGUGAUGCUGAUUGGGCAGGAGAUAGAGUGGACAGGAGAUCAACUACUGGGUAUUGUACAUUCAUUGGAGGAAACUUGGUUACUUGGAAGAGUAAGAAGCAGAAGGUUAUCUCUUGUUCAAGUGCUGAAGCUGAGUAUAGAGCCAUGCUGAAGCUGACAAACGAGUUGGUGUGGAUCAAGGGGAUCUUGAAGCAUCUAGAGAUUGAGCAGAGUACUCCUAUGACUAUGCAUUGUGACAAUCAAGCAGCUAUCCACAUUGCCUCCAACUCAGUGUUUCAUGAGAGAACAAAGCACAUAGAGGUGGAUUGUCAUAAGGUGAGGCAGAUGAUUAUCUUAGGAGUGAUUCUGCCAUGUUAUACAAGAAGUGAAGAUCAGCUUGCAGAUGUGUUUACUAAGGCAGCGAGAUUAAAGACAAUGGAGUCCAUACUAUCCAGGCUUGGACUCAUUGAUCUUACUCCCAGGAGCUGAGCCCCUUAACCAUGGAGUCUCCACUCUUUUUCCCUCAUCAAAGUUUUAUCCCAAUGGGUUUUCUUUGGUGAGGUUUUUAAUGAGGGAGGUCUUCAUGGUUUCCAAGCUUGACUUGUUCCACAUGGUCAAGCUUGAGGGGGAGUGUUGAGAUGAGGUAAUAAAGAGUGACUACAUUGAUAGAGAAAGAGGAUUGAGACAGACAGUAACUUUGGAGUUACCACAGUAACUUUGGUUUUACUGUGGUAACUAAGUUAAAGCUUGGAAAGUUACCUUGGCUCACAUUGGAGAGUAAGCCACGACCAAGAGCUGUAUGGAUAAGGGGGGAGCAGUCUGGAUAAGGUUUCCUCACAGCUAGAGAGGCUGGAGACAGGCUGUAAAGUAGACAGCAUCUAGUAAAAGAUGCCAAAGGGAUCAAGCAUGUGAAGACUCCCAUUGGCUGCUUUUGGAUGGCUCUCUUUGACUACACAUGCCCUGAACCUCUACCUUAUCUAUUGAUUUCGAAAUUGAUUGUCUCUCACAUAUAAGUAUGUUGUAAACCUCAUCUUUAUUAAUUAAUGGAGUUUUGAGUCUCUCUCUUUAUUCUCUCACUAAAAUCUCUUAAUCUCUUUAAUCUUUUCAUCUGAUUAUCUCUGAUUAUUUGAAUCAUGCUCUAAUACACAAAAGUGUAUAUGGUAUCAGAGCCAGGUUGGCAAAAAGGGGGUGAGUGUGAUUUCUUUUUCUCAAAAUCAGAGUGUUCUUGAGUGUUCUUGGGAUUAUUGAGGUUUCUGGGUAUGUGUGUUGUCUAUUCUUGUGUGGCUGGGUUUAUUUGAGAUUCUCUGGUGGAAACAUGGAUAUGAAGCACGAAUCUAGUGGAGCAGUGAAGAUUCAAGAAGAAAACAAGUGGGUUUGGCCAAGAUGGGUAAAGACAGCUUUGGGAAGCUGUGAGAUUUGGAGUAAUCAAGUAAAGGGAGAACCUUUAAUGGAGAGAGCUGCUGAUGGGGGUCAGAC
RNAcentral lists this long non-coding RNA (5499 nucleotides) under Brassica napus (rape). Its description in RNAcentral is "long non-coding RNA (BNAP_LNC017846)". The record is from RNAcentral. Lineage: Eukaryota; Viridiplantae; Streptophyta; Magnoliopsida; Brassicales; Brassicaceae.